This 357-nucleotide transfer-messenger RNA is filed under the name Thermoguttaceae bacterium. It matches the Rfam family "transfer-messenger RNA". Rfam says of the family: Bacterial tmRNA, also known as 10Sa RNA or SsrA, is named for its dual tRNA and mRNA-like properties. Its role is to liberate the mRNA from a stalled ribosome. The record is from RNAcentral. Lineage: Bacteria; Pseudomonadati; Planctomycetota; Planctomycetia; Pirellulales; Thermoguttaceae.
GGGGGCGACUGGAUUCGACUGGGCACUUGAAGUGUGAGUUGCAUGUCGUGGUUGGUCAGAAUGCCACGUAAAAAUCCGACUAAAAAAUAAACGCCAACAAUAAUAUGGCUCUUGCCGCCUAAGAAGAGGCGACCGUGCAUGGGUUUCCCUGACAGAUGGAGGCCCAAUGUAGCGUAACGAAGUCUGUUAUGUCCUGAUUCACGGCAGUACGGUUGGGGCGAGAUUUGUUCUGUCUGGUUCCUGAUCCACCCUUUCGGUUGGGGGGAGAUGGAGCGAGAUUUAAAGAAUCGAAUACACAUGUAGACGCUCACAGGGAUAUGUCGCAGGACGCGGGUUCGAUACCCGCCGCCUCCAAUU